AGUGCGCACGCUCCGUACUCCCCGACUUGCCGCAUUUCUUUCGCCUAUAAUUCCAUCAACCCCAAAUCAAUCCCGUCAAAAUAUUGCAAUAUUUUAACCAUCUCGGCCUAAUGAAUCCGCUUCCGCCAUCGCCCGCCGUGCACCGACCCCGCUACCUAACCUAACGAACGGAUUACGUCAAUACGCGUCGACUCUCGUGUGCAAGUCUAAUCGCUCGGACUGUCAAUGUUUACGUUUCUGCACGAAAACAUUUUCCACCUGAAAAAGUGCCAUAUUGAUCACAACUUCACGGAGUAUUCAGGUUUUAUUAAGGGUAUCGAAGUCUACACGCGAGUGAAACUUUACGAAUAUUAGUAUAAGUAAUACCACUGCUAUUAUGAUAUAAGUGCAAUUUUACUGCCAAAUGCAAUAAAUAGGUUAAUUAUUUGAGAGCGAGGUCCAGUUUUGUGUGAAAAGUGGAGAACAUAGCAGCUAAGAGAAAUGCCGGGUUUACCCCGGUAACUGAUAGGUAUAGUGUUAUUUUGACGAUCGCAACAACAGCUUCCGACGGAUUCACCUUGAUAAACGAUUACAACGCCGCCCCGCUGUUCGCCUCGGAAAACGCCUCCAGUGGUAAGCUUUCAGCUAACUCA
Molecule: long non-coding RNA, 632 nt
Organism: Papilio polytes (common Mormon)
Lineage: Eukaryota; Metazoa; Arthropoda; Insecta; Lepidoptera; Papilionidae
Exons: 4
Source: RefSeq, a predicted model, not a curated record